AGUUUGAUCCUGGCUCAGAUUGAACGCUGGCGGCAUGCUUUACACAUGCAAGUCGAACGGUAACAGGUCUUCGGAUGCUGACGAGUGGCGAACGGGUGAGUAAUACAUCGGAACGUGCCUAGUAGUGGGGGAUAACUACUCGAAAGAGUAGCUAAUACCGCAUGAGAUCUACGGAUGAAAGCAGGGGACCUUCGGGCCUUGUGCUACUAGAGCGGCUGAUGGCAGAUUAGGUAGUUGGUGGGGUAAAGGCUUACCAAGCCUGCGAUCUGUAGCUGGUCUGAGAGGACGACCAGCCACACUGGGACUGAGACACGGCCCAGACUCCUACGGGAGGCAGCAGUGGGGAAUUUUGGACAAUGGGCGAAAGCCUGAUCCAGCAAUGCCGCGUGCAGGAUGAAGGCCCUCGGGUUGUAAACUGCUUUUGUACGGAACGAAAAGCCUGGGGCUAAUAUCCCCGGGUCAUGACGGUACCGUAAGAAUAAGCACCGGCUAACUACGUG
RNAcentral lists this ribosomal RNA (500 nucleotides) under uncultured Comamonas sp. Its description in RNAcentral is "bacterial SSU rRNA". It matches the Rfam family "Bacterial small subunit ribosomal RNA", at positions 10 to 507 of the family's 1533-position model. The record is from RNAcentral. Lineage: Bacteria; Pseudomonadati; Pseudomonadota; Betaproteobacteria; Burkholderiales; Comamonadaceae.